Molecule: ribosomal RNA, 503 nt
Filed under: uncultured bacterium
Lineage: Bacteria
Description: partial 16S ribosomal RNA
Rfam family: Bacterial small subunit ribosomal RNA
Source: RNAcentral
AUUGAACGCUGGCGGCAGGCUUAACACAUGCAAGUCGAGCGGGGUGAUGGUGCUUGCACUAUCACUUAGCGGCGGACGGGUGAGUAAUGCUUAGGAAUCUGCCUAUUAGUGGGGGACAACAUCUCGAAAGGGAUGCUAAUACCGCAUACGUCCUACGGGAGAAAGCAGGGGAUCACUUGUGACCUUGCGCUAAUAGAUGAGCCUAAGUCGGAUUAGCUAGUUGGGGGGGUAAAGGCCUACCAAGGCGACGAUCUGUAGCGGGUCUGAGAGGAUGAUACGCCACACUGGGACUGAGACACGGCCCAGACUCCUACGGGAGGCAGCAGUGGGGAAUAUUGGGCAAUGGGGGGAACCCUGAUCCAGCCAUGCCGCGUGUGUGAAGAAGGCCUUAUGGUUGUAAAGCACUUUAAGCGAGGAGGAGGCUCUUUUGGUUAAUACCCAAGAUGAGUGGACGUUACUCGCAGAAUAAGCACCGGCUAACUCUGUGCCAGCCGCCGCGGUAA